Molecule: ribosomal RNA, 26 nt
Filed under: Leptographium europhioides
Lineage: Eukaryota; Fungi; Ascomycota; Sordariomycetes; Ophiostomatales; Ophiostomataceae
Also listed under: 2 other names
Description: Grosmannia europhioides partial 18S ribosomal RNA
Source: RNAcentral
GUUGGUGACCAGCGGAGGGAUCAUUA